Molecule: long non-coding RNA, 1402 nt
Organism: Arabidopsis lyrata subsp. lyrata
Lineage: Eukaryota; Viridiplantae; Streptophyta; Magnoliopsida; Brassicales; Brassicaceae
Exons: 3
Source: RefSeq, a predicted model, not a curated record
ACCAAAAUCUAAAUUUUCUUAUCUUUUCUCAUUCUACUUCUCCGUGGAUACCUCUUCGCUCUCUUCCUCUUCAAAUUCUUCUUCUUCUUCAUAAUCUACUGAUUAAAUCCGCCGUGAUGACCAUAUCUCCGACUUCUCCUCCUCCCUCAAUCCCACCACCUGUUAUCGCUUGCGCCUAUCUCACCUCUCCAGCUUCCCCCAACCUCGAUCUCUUUCCUCAAAUACAAAUAUAUCAGAUCUACCCUAUCAUUAGAUAAUUGGGAUGGAUAAGAAGUCCUCCGUUGUAUCAAGGCAGUGGUAGAGAUUCUGGUAAUGGUGGAUGGGAUAACGAUGAUUCGUUCAGAUCUUCAUCUACAUAUAUGAGGCAUGGUCGUGGUGCUCCGGCGAAGUCGGAAUCGUCGGAGGAUAUAAAUUCUCGGUCUCAUAUGAGUCUUCAUGUAAAUUUAAAAUAUGGGGAUUAUGAAGCAUUGGAGGAAAAAAUAAAGCUAUAUAGGAAGAAAGUCUUUGUUUUUGGAUGUACAUAACGUAAGCUAUUUCUCUAAUCUUUUUUUUUUGUUUUGAUUAUUGGCAGUCACUUUCUUCGUAUCGUUGGACUUAAUACAACUGUAAAGCUAUAUUUUUAACAUUAAUUAAGUGGAGACUUAGCCAAGAGCUUUGCCGGUCAGAACUACUGAAACCAAUGGAGAAAGAGUCAGAUUUCUUACCGGCGCGUUGUCUCAGAGUUAGUGGUGUUGUUACAGUCACUGGAGUAUGCCACAAGGAUAAAGAAGUUGCUCAGGUAAAAAACUAUGCUUCUCUGUUUAUUUCUUUCAUGUUCCGAAUUGCUUUGAUUCCGAAGGUGACCAAAAUUCACAGAGGAAAAGACCUCAAGCCAUAGCACAUGUCUUCUAAUUUUGAGUAUGGAGGUACUUAAAGCACACAAGUUCAGGCAUCUGCUCAUAAUCAUGUUACAUAACCUAAUGCCUAUUUUGAUAGUUUCUUUUACUUUUUUUACUUGUUGAUUCAUAUUAACAAUUAAUGAGAUGGAAUAAUAUUUCUGGAUUGUUGAAUUAGGCUUGGAAAAUUAGGCCAGAGAUUAAGUAAGAUGUUGCGGGCCUUGCGGCUAUGUCUGGGCUCAGGUGAGGGAAAUUCUGGUCUCGUUUUAAUGGGAUUUAAUUGACAAACGACAAACGUACAUGAGUAAAAGGAGAAACCAAUAGAAGAUAGGCUUGUUGCAGGUGUUAUAAAAGUUGUUAAGGUUCUCUGAUGGCUCUUUCACCACGAGCUUCAUCACAAGGUUUUGAAUCUCUUUAACCAUCAUUGAUUUUAAGACAAGGACUAUAGAGGGAUUAUGCACGGGAAUGCUAACGGCAAGGCAAAACACAUAGAGAAAACAAGAUGGAAGUCUGUUUUUAUGAUGUUA